Gasterosteus aculeatus aculeatus (three-spined stickleback) is the source of this 2240-nucleotide long non-coding RNA. The record is from Ensembl. NCBI's taxonomy places the organism in Eukaryota, Metazoa, Chordata, Actinopteri, Perciformes, Gasterosteidae.
GUUCUAUUUGUUGUGUUUUAUUAAACUUAACAUCAUCCUAAUGCCAAGAUGGCACAGGCUUUAUGCCCAGGGAGAGGGUUGAAGCAGUUGAGUAAUUAAGGGGAGCAUAAGAAGGGGGACAAACAACCCAACAGGAAGGAAGAACGAGAGAGAGAGAGAAUAGACCAGACGAAGUGAAACAUAGUUGUGGACAGGAGACAAAAGGAGAGUUAACAAAGUGUAAGAUUAACUGGAUUGACCUGGACUGGCUGACUAACACUGUGCAUCGAACUGUUCUGGAAGAGGACCCACCAAUGUAUGACCUGGGACAAGAAGACAACGGGAACAGCUUUGGAAGUGUCACGUGGCAUUGAGCUUAUCCUCCUACACAAUCGAUUUGAUCAAAAUAAACUGCGCUAACUGUACCCCGUGGCCGGCUUGUCUUCUUGAACAGUGACAUGGAAAUCCACAGCCAUGGGCUUGCCACAGUAUUUAUUAUUUUAAUAUAAAAAUAAGUAUAAUAUAAGUAAAUAAGUAUAAUAUAAUAUAAGCCGCACCACCUAAAUGUAGAACCGGUCUAUAAGCCACAGGCGUCCACGCGGCAGAAAAACGAGUUCUUCACAUUGUCGUCUCCAACGUCUCACCAUUCAUUCAAUGGUUUCAUUGGAUUCAUCAAUGGUGAGCUUCUGUGCAGCCGCUCAGUUUCCUUCUCCGACAGCCAGAUUGGUUGCCCACAGUGGUGUAGUCUAGUAUAUGUUUGUAGUGAGUAUACUGUGCCAGCUGACCGGGGGGGGUUGUGGACGCUACACUACGGCCGACGGGGAGGUUGAAAAGGAACACUUGAGAGCCCUGGACUUGAGAGGAGGAUGCGUCCGUUAGUAAGCGAGGAUUGCUAUAGUUUUGGUCAUCUCCAGCGGUACACGGUGCAUGCGUGACGUGACUGUCCAGAGUAUUUUUCUAAAUAAAGAUAUCAUAUAUUGUAGUACAGCCAAGUCAUUACUUUUUUUCUCUCUACUUUUCAUUGCUGUAUUAAAUGGACCUCGGCCAGCCCAAAUCCUGCAAUUACCGACAGAAACCUGAUGACGGGGAUGAUUACGUGAACGCUGUGGACAACAACGUCUAUGGAAACAUGUGAAAAAACAAAUGAAAUGUGCUUAAAAUUAUAAUUGGAAUUACAAGCAUCUGAUGCCUGCAAUUAAUAAUAAUAAUAAGACGGUUUUGCUAAUCUCUGUAAUCGAACAAACUAUAUUAGAUUUCGUCUUUGAUGAUUUCAUCAAUUAUUUAGGGAAUAUCAAAUUCAUCAGUAAGUGCAACUUCAUUCAGUCAGUGUAAUUUUUUGCUUGUUAGGAAUCAGGAAACAUUUAUUACCAAAAUAUGUCAGACAUACAAGGAAUUUGACUUGGAGAUUGGUGCAUAGCAGCAGACAGUUAGACAAUGGACAACAAGACACAUAAGACGACAUAGUGCAAGAGGAAUAAAAUAUGCUAUGGGUUAGUAUAUAAGGCUAAGUGUUAGUUUAAAAAUAAAUGAAAAGCUUUUUAAAAAUAAAAAAAAGUAAAGUGCACCAGCGAACAGAAACUGACAGGUGCAGGUUUGUGUGUGAAGGGAGUGUCCGGUGGGAUGUCAGUGUGGGGCCCGGGCUCUGUUGAUGAGCCCGACUGCCAAUGGGAAGUACCAUUUAUGUGGCGGGAGGUCUUGGUCCUGAUGGACCUCAGCCUCCUGCCAGAUGGAAGGGGCAAAAACUGUUAUUUCCCAGGUGUCCCCGUUGUUGUUGAUGUUUUCCAAUAAUAUUUCGAGUGAUGCUAAUUUAAGAAACCAUCAGCUGUCUGGUUCCAUAUUAUUCGUUCAAACAAUUCAGCAAAAUAUUUAAAUUCCCUACAGCGCGUACAAUCAUAGAGGCGUUGUGUAUUGAUAUCUCAUAUAAUAACCAAACUGAAUAAGAAAAAUAUUUUACUUUAAUGGAAAAGGCCAAAAUACUGUUAAUAAGUAUCACACUGCGGUGAAGUUGUUGGGUUUGUUUUAUUUUGUCUGGUCUUUUUGUCUUGUCCUUUCCUGUUUUAUUUUGAAAUAGUAACUCUCCUCUCGUUUCAGGUCACUUACUGCUCCUCAUGUGUCACCAGUCUGAUUGUCUUCCCUGAUUCUCAAUUGUGUCCACCUCUUCCCCAUGGCCCUCCAUGUGUACUAAUUGUCUGCGUCUCCCUUUGUCCUGUGCCAGUGUGUUAGUUUAUGCCCAUGUUAUGUUGUCGCUCACUCAAGCUUCG